RNAcentral lists this small nuclear RNA (134 nucleotides) under Neogale vison (American mink). RNAcentral's name for it is "Neovison vison (American mink) U4 spliceosomal RNA (ENSNVIG00000020732.1)". It matches the Rfam family "U4 spliceosomal RNA". From Rfam's summary of the family: U4 small nuclear RNA (U4 snRNA) is a component of the major U2-dependent spliceosome. The structure of U4 snRNA from yeast and human has been reported. Lineage: Eukaryota; Metazoa; Chordata; Mammalia; Carnivora; Mustelidae. The record is from Rfam by way of RNAcentral.
AGCUUUGCGCAGUGGCAGUAUCGUAGCCAAUGAGGUUUAUCCGAGGCGCGAUUAUUGCUAAUUGAGAUGUCUUAUACAGUAGUAGCCACUGAGUACUUAAAAUAUGGCUCAUGUUUUUCUGAAAAACAGUCUGA